CUUUAGCAAUGACAGCUUCUCCGUACACUUUAGGACCAUGGCUUUCCACCUACAAGUCCCCACAAGCACUUUUUAAAAAAUGAAAUUAAAGAAAAUAUCAGAGUGCAUCCAACAGAGUAAGGACAACUGAAUACAUCAUCACAGAGGCCACGACAUUCUGUCUACAGUGCAGGACUGGGACCCAAAGCAAAGAUGAAUGACUCCAGCACAGGAAGCCACCGAAGUCUGGCCUAAUUGUCCUCCUGGGAGUCAUCAUCAUGGUUACUCUCAUUUAAUGUUGCCUAAGGAAAAGGAUUUGGUCCAACCUUCUACCAGUACAUCUAAGGACCAGUCCCUACUGGGGAGCCUGUAUCAAACAGCAGGAGCCUGUAUUCCUGAGAAGCAUGAAGAAGCCACAGCAGCCACUGUUGGUACCUGCCCAGAUCCACUCAGCAUCUCUUCCGCAGGUUUAAGGCUGCUCACUUGAUCCCAUUAUACUCUGCUUACGGCCCUCUUCUGAUGGCAGAAGUGAACUUGGCCUAUAAAGGGCAGGCCAGAAGUACCAGUCAAUGCCCAUGAAAAUACCCCUUAAUGACAGAUGGGAAGUUGGUAGAUAACACAAUUCCCUUGCUCCUUGAUAGGGUAACUGGGUUAUGUUCUAUAAAGUCCCCCACAGGUCCCCAGUGGGACUGAGUCCCAGUUGCCCAGAGUGGUAACUCGCUUGAUAAUGCACCUUUUAUUGGCUGCCUUCCUCUCUAUUGUCUCCCUUCUCCAUUCCUCUAUCAGUGUUUCUGGAAUCAAAUUCAAAUUACCAUCUGCACUCAAAUUCUGAGUUGGCUUCUGGAAAACUGGAAACUAAGAACAGAAAUCCAGUGCAUAGACCAGAAGCGGUGGCUCACACCUAUAAUCCCAGCACUUUGGGAGGCUGAGGUGGGCAGAUCACCUGAGGUCAGGAGUUACAGACCAGCCUGACCAACAUGGUGAAACCCCGUCUCUACUAGAAAUACAAAAAUUAGCCGGGCAUGGCGGCCGGUGCCUGUAAUCCCAGCACUUCGGGAGGCUGAGGCGGGCAGAUCACCUGAGGUCAGGAGUUUGAGACCAGCCUGACCAACAUGGUGAAACCCCAUCUCUACUAGAAAUACAAAAAUUAGCCAGGCAUGGUGGCGGAUAUCUGUAAUCCCAGCUACUCAGGAGGCUGAGGCAGGAGAAUUGCUUGAACUCAGGAGGCAGAGGUUGCAGUGAGCCGAGAUCACGCCAUUGCACUCCAGCCUGGGCAACAAGAGUGAAACUCCGUCUUG
RNAcentral lists this long non-coding RNA (1277 nucleotides) under Homo sapiens (human). RNAcentral's name for it is "non-protein coding lnc-CKAP2L-2:4". The record is from RNAcentral. Lineage: Eukaryota; Metazoa; Chordata; Mammalia; Primates; Hominidae.